Molecule: ribosomal RNA, 253 nt
Filed under: uncultured bacterium
Lineage: Bacteria
Description: partial 16S ribosomal RNA
Rfam family: Bacterial small subunit ribosomal RNA
Source: RNAcentral
UACGAAGGGGGCUAGCGUUGCUCGGAAUCACUGGGCGUAAAGCGCACGUAGGCGGCUUUUUAAGUCAGGGGUGAAAUCCUGGAGCUCAACUCCAGAACUGCCUUUGAUACUGGGAAGCUUGAGUCCGGGAGAGGUGAGUGGAACUCCGAGUGUAGAGGUGAAAUUCGUAGAUAUCAGGAAGAACACCCGUGGCGAAGGCGGUUCUCUGGGACGGUACUGACGCUGAGACGCGAAAGCGUGGGGAGCGAACAGG